Molecule: ribosomal RNA, 483 nt
Filed under: uncultured bacterium
Lineage: Bacteria
Description: partial 16S ribosomal RNA
Rfam family: Bacterial small subunit ribosomal RNA
Source: RNAcentral
GACGAACGCUGGCGGCGUGCUUAACACAUGCAAGUCGAACGCUGAAGCUCAGCUUUUGUUGGGUGGAUGAGUGGCGAACGGGUGAGUAACACGUGAGUAACCUGCCUCCUUCUUUGGGAUAACGCCCGGAAACGGGUGCUAAUACUGGAUAUUCACUGGUCUUCGCAUGGGGGUUGGUGGAAAGGGUUUUUCUGGUGGGGGAUGGGCUCGCGGCCUAUCAGCUUGUUGGUGGGGUGAUGGCCUACCAAGGCUUUGACGGGUAGCCGGCCUGAGAGGGUGACCGGUCAGAUUGGGACUGAGAUACGGCCCAGACUCCUACGGGAGGCAGCAGUGGGGAAUAUUGCACAAUGGGCGCAAGCCUGAUGCAGCGACGCCGCGGGAGGGAUGGAGGCCUUCGGGUUGUGAACCUCUUUCGCUCAUGGUCAAGCCGCAACAAUGGUUGUGGUGAGGGUAGUGGGUAAAGAAGCGCCGGCUAACUACGUG